This 23-nucleotide non-coding RNA is filed under the name Cricetulus griseus (Chinese hamster). Lineage: Eukaryota; Metazoa; Chordata; Mammalia; Rodentia; Cricetidae. The record is from RNAcentral.
CAGUCUCAUUGAGAAGGCAUGUG